This 253-nucleotide ribosomal RNA is filed under the name uncultured bacterium. RNAcentral's name for it is "partial 16S ribosomal RNA". It matches the Rfam family "Bacterial small subunit ribosomal RNA", at positions 524 to 776 of the family's 1533-position model. The record is from RNAcentral.
GACGGAGGAUGCAAGUGUUAUCCGGAAUCACUGGGCGUAAAGCGUCUGUAGGUGGUUUGAUAAGUCAACUGUUAAAUCUUGAAGCUCAACUUCAAAAUCGCAGUCGAAACUAUUAGACUAGAGUAUAGUAGGGGUAAAGGGAAUUUCCAGUGGAGCGGUGAAAUGCGUAGAUAUUGGAAAGAACACCGAUGGCGAAGGCACUUUACUGGGCUAUUACUGACACUCAGAGACGAAAGCUAGGGUAGCAAAUGGG